Molecule: ribosomal RNA, 283 nt
Filed under: Tautonia sociabilis
Lineage: Bacteria; Pseudomonadati; Planctomycetota; Planctomycetia; Isosphaerales; Isosphaeraceae
Description: Isosphaeraceae bacterium GM2012 partial 16S ribosomal RNA
Rfam family: Bacterial small subunit ribosomal RNA
Source: RNAcentral
UUGGCGGCGUGGAUUAGGCAUGCAAGUCGGACGCCCCUUGGGGGCGUGGCGAAAGGGUGAGUAAGGCGACGGCAACCAACCCCGCGGAGGGGGACAGCCACGGGAAACUGUGGGUAAUCCCCCAUGAUGCCGGGCCGGGACAUCCCGGCCGGGCUAAAGGUGAGACUCCGCCGCGGGACGGGCCGUCGUGGUAUCAGGUUGUUGGUGGGGUAACGGCCCACCAAGCCGUUGACGCCUAGCGGGCGUGCGAGCGUGGCCCGCCACACUGGGACUGAGACACUGU